UACAGAGGGUGCGAGCGUUGUCCGGAAUCACUGGGCGUAAAGGGCGCGUAGGCGGCUUGGUAAGUAGGGGGUGAAAUUCCGUGGCUCAACCACGGGGCUGCCUCCUAAACUGCUGAGCUUGAGCGCGGUAGAGGCUGGUGGAAUUCCCGGUGUAGCGGUGGAAUGCGUAGAGAUCGGGAGGAACAUCGGUGGCGAAGGCGGCCAGCUGGGCCGUUGCUGACGCUGAGGAGCGAAAGCGUGGGGAGCAAACAGG
Molecule: ribosomal RNA, 253 nt
Filed under: uncultured bacterium
Lineage: Bacteria
Description: partial 16S ribosomal RNA
Rfam family: Bacterial small subunit ribosomal RNA
Source: RNAcentral